Molecule: long non-coding RNA, 1201 nt
Filed under: Ananas comosus (pineapple)
Lineage: Eukaryota; Viridiplantae; Streptophyta; Magnoliopsida; Poales; Bromeliaceae
Description: long non-coding RNA (ACOM_LNC029630)
Source: RNAcentral
AGAGAGAGAGAGAGAGUAGGGCUACUAUACUCUUAUGAGUAUAGAGCCCUUCGUACUCAUAAGUUGUUUUCGAUGUUCGGGCUUCCGAAUUGACGAUCCAUAUCAUUAAACAUGAUCUAGAGUAUUUGAAACUUCUAGAAAAUAAAUUUCGUAAUUUUUUGAAAUCAUUAUAAAGUCUGUCAAGCGGAUAUAAAAUGAGCAGUCAAACUCGCACGAUAUUCUAAAAAUGGAUGAUCGGAUCCUUCAAUUUAAGAUCAGGGUUAUUGAUCUUUAUCUAGGUAAUGAAUAGAAUUUUCUAUCAAAAAUUCAAGCUAUUCCGAUUCUUUUAUACCGUUAAACUAGCAAGUAUCACAUACCGGCCGUUAAAAAUUGUCAAUUUUGUGAGCUAUUGAUCAUAAGGUAAAUGGUAUCGAAAAACUAUAAAAUUUAAUUUCUAGAAGUUUUAAAUGUUCUAGAUAAUGUUUAACGGUCUGGAUCGUCAAUUCGGAAGGUCUAUCAUCGAAAACAACUUAUGAGUACGAAUGUGAUCGUACUCAUAAGAGUAUAGUAGCCGGACUAUAUAGAGUCCGGCUACAAUACUUUUAUGAGUAUUGGCUCACUUAUAGUCAUGAGUUUUUGACCCUUAGAUUUAUUCCAUUGAUCAUUUGCACCCGUUAGAUCAUACUAUUCAACCAAUUACCCACUCAACCCUAGAGAACCACUAUUAUUCUAAGGGGGGAUCACCAUCAUCCUAACCACAUAUCCCAUCAAUCAACGGUUAAAAAUUUAUAAAUAUAAGGGGGUCUAUACUCAUAAGAGUAUAAUGGCCCCAGCCUAUAUAUAUGUGUGUGUAAUAUGAAGCUCGGUGGGUCGACUUAUAUAUAGCCCAUGAAUUGUCUCUUUGGCAUCUUACGUCCACAAAUAUAUUUUGCAUACAUAAGUCAAUAAGUAACUGUCCCAGGCAGAAAAAUUAUGAAGGUAAUUGCUUAAAUAUUCUUAGAAAAUUUUCGAAUGUUUUAUUUACUUUUUAUGAAAGACUAAUAUAAAAAAUAUUUUUUUAAUGUUCAAAGUUAUUUCAAAUAUGUUCCUAAAAUUAAAUUGAAACUGAUGUUUUCUCUGUAAAAUUAUUAUUUUGCCUUUUCAAAUAUACUCUCCUACCAUCAUUAACUUUUCUUAUUUGUCGUUAAGUUAGGGAGAAAAGAAGUAUUUUGACUUCCUUUUA